This 74-nucleotide transfer RNA is filed under the name Paraburkholderia sacchari. RNAcentral describes it as "tRNA-OTHER". Lineage: Bacteria; Pseudomonadati; Pseudomonadota; Betaproteobacteria; Burkholderiales; Burkholderiaceae. The record is from RNAcentral.
CGCGGUCCAGCGCACACAAACUGGUUAAAUCGGGCUCAUAACCCGAAGGUCGUAGGUUCCUACCCCCGCAACCA